AUUGAACGCUGGCGGCAUGCUUUACACAUGCAAGUCGAACGGUAACAGGUCUUCGGAUGCUGACGAGUGGCGAACGGGUGAGUAAUGCAUCGGAACGUGCCCAGUCGUGGGGGAUAACGCAGCGAAAGCUGUGCUAAUACCGCAUACGAUCUAUGGAUGAAAGCGGGGGAUCGCAAGACCUCGCGCGAUUGGAGCGGCCGAUGUCAGAUUAGCUAGUUGGUGGGGUAAAGGCCCACCAAGGCGACGAUCUGUAGCUGGUCUGAGAGGACGACCAGCCACACUGGGACUGAGACACGGCCCAGACUCCUACGGGAGGCAGCAGUGGGGAAUUUUGGACAAUGGGCGCAAGCCUGAUCCAGCAAUGCCGCGUGCAGGAAGAAGGCCUCGGUUGUAAGACGUCUUUCGGUCCGGGAACGGAAAUAC
This 423-nucleotide ribosomal RNA is filed under the name uncultured bacterium. RNAcentral's name for it is "bacterial SSU rRNA". It matches the Rfam family "Bacterial small subunit ribosomal RNA", at positions 30 to 455 of the family's 1533-position model. The record is from RNAcentral.